UGACAGGCUGGCACCUACACUCACCUGGCCACACUUACAUGGCAUCCAAGGACCCAAACUCUGGUUCUCACACUUGGGCCACGAAGCUUUAACGGCUGAACAAGCAUCUACCCCAGGCCUCAACUAAAAGGCAAUAUGGACAGGAAGCUGUGCUGUAGACAGCCGGGUUAAAGAAUGAAAAGACACGGAGAGAAACCCUCGUAGAAAGAGACAGAGUCCACAGCAUAGGGAGCAUGCAGAAGCUUGGCUGUGGCUGCAAGAGGGCCGAAGCAGGAGCAGCAGGGACACAACCUCUGAGAAGUGGACACUGGGCCAUCCUUGAUCCCUGUGGCUGAUCAGCCUGAGACCUCAGGAACUCAUGAACUCACUGGGAACACAGAUUUUCUCUUCUGAUCAACAAGGAGAUGGAGUCCAUCCACCGAGCUGUCUGCAUGUCUGGAAGGGGACUGUCCAUCCACCAGGCUGUCUGCAUGUCUGGAAGGGAGCUCCAGGGAUGUAACUUUCAUAGAUCAUCACAUGUGCUGGAGUGAACUUUUCAGUGAUGCAACAGCCUUUGAGUCACCCUGUUCCUCUCACCCACCACCCUGUAAUAACCUCAAUAAAGACACUGGUUCACUACAAUA
This 623-nucleotide long non-coding RNA is filed under the name Cricetulus griseus (Chinese hamster). RNAcentral describes it as "lncRNA (ENSCGRG00015041413.1)". The record is from RNAcentral. Lineage: Eukaryota; Metazoa; Chordata; Mammalia; Rodentia; Cricetidae.